GGGGCUGUGGUCUAGCUUGGCAUGAUACGCGCUUGGGGUGCGCGUGAUCCGGGGUUCAAAUCCUCGCAGCCCCA
Molecule: transfer RNA, 74 nt
Filed under: Candidatus Woesearchaeota archaeon
Lineage: Archaea; Nanobdellati; Candidatus Woesearchaeota
Description: tRNA-Pro
Rfam family: tRNA
About the family: Transfer RNA (tRNA) molecules are approximately 80 nucleotides in length. Their secondary structure includes four short double-helical elements and three loops (D, anti-codon, and T loops).
Source: RNAcentral